This 306-nucleotide unclassified non-coding RNA is filed under the name uncultured Leucosporidium. RNAcentral describes it as "sequence contains ITS2". The stretch from base 1 to 52 matches the Rfam family "5.8S ribosomal RNA", at positions 103 to 154 of the family's 154-position model. The record is from RNAcentral. Lineage: Eukaryota; Fungi; Basidiomycota; Microbotryomycetes; Leucosporidiales.
AACGCACCUUGCGCUCUCUGGUAUUCCGGAGAGCAUGUCUGUUUGAGUGUCAUGAACUCUUCAACCCACCAGUUUCUUGUAGACUGAUUGGUGUUUGGUUUCUGAGCGUUGCUGGUCUUCGGAUCUAGCUCGUUCGUAAUAUAUUAGCAUCUCUAAUUCGAACUCGGAUUGACUCAGUGUAAUAGACUAUUCGCUGAGGACACGCUCUUGUAGUGUGGCCGAAUGAGAUCUCAGUAGAAGCUUCCAACUACUUUAGUCAACUUUAGAUUAGACCUCAGAUCAGGCAGGAUUACCCGCUGAACUUAA